This 465-nucleotide ribosomal RNA is filed under the name Vreelandella stevensii. RNAcentral's name for it is "partial 16S ribosomal RNA". It matches the Rfam family "Bacterial small subunit ribosomal RNA", at positions 338 to 795 of the family's 1533-position model. The record is from RNAcentral. Lineage: Bacteria; Pseudomonadati; Pseudomonadota; Gammaproteobacteria; Oceanospirillales; Halomonadaceae.
CCUACGGGGGCUGCAGUGGGGAAUAUUGGACAAUGGGCGAAAGCCUGAUCCAGCCAUGCCGCGUGUGUGAAGAAGGCCUUCGGGUUGUAAAGCACUUUCAGUGGGGAAGAAAGCCUUGGGGCUAAUACCCUCGAGGAAGGACAUCACCCACAGAAGAAGCACCGGCUAACUCCGUGCCAGCAGCCGCGGUAAUACGGAGGGUGCGAGCGUUAAUCGGAAUUACUGGGCGUAAAGCGCGCGUAGGCGGUCUGAUAAGCCGGUUUGUGAAAGCCCCGGGCUCAACCUGGGAACGGCAUCCGGAACUGUCAGGCUAGAGUGCAGGAGAGGAAGGUAGAAUUCCCGGUGUAGCGGUGAAAUGCGUAGAGAUCGGGAGGAAUACCAGUGGCGAAGGCGGCCUUCUGGACUGACACUGACGCUGAGGUGCGAAAGCGUGGGUAGCAAACAGGAUUAGAUACCCCAGUAGUC